CCUACGGGAGGCAGCAGUGGGGAAUAUUGCACAAUGGGGGAAACCCUGAUGCAGCGACGCCGCGUGAGUGAAGAAGUAAUUCGUUACGUAAAGCUCUAUCAGCAGGGAAGAAACACUGACCUUACGGUCAGCAGACGGUACCUGAGUAAGAAGCCCCGGCUAACUACGUGCCAGCAGCCGCGGUAAUACGUAGGGGGCAAGCGUUAUCCGGAUUUACUGGGUGUAAAGGGAGCGUAGACGGUUAUGCAAGUCUGAAGUGAAAGCCCAAGGCUCAACCAUGGGACUGCUUUGGAAACUGUAAGACUGGAGUGCAGGAGAGGUAAGCGGAAUUCCUAGUGUAGCGGUGAAAUGCGUAGAUAUUAGGAGGAACACCAGUGGCGAAGGCGGCUUACUGGACUGUAACUGACGUUGAGGCUCGAAGGCGUGGGGAGCAAACAGGAUUAGAUACCCUGGUAGUC
RNAcentral lists this ribosomal RNA (458 nucleotides) under uncultured bacterium. Its description in RNAcentral is "partial 16S ribosomal RNA". It matches the Rfam family "Bacterial small subunit ribosomal RNA", at positions 338 to 795 of the family's 1533-position model. The record is from RNAcentral.